GUUUUCCACUAUUUUUUCUUCUUCAAUAAAAGAACUUUACAUACCGAAAUACUUCAUCGUUCACGCGGCGUUGCUCGGUCAGAGUUUCCUCCAUUGCCGAAAAUUCCCUACUGCUGCCUCCCGUAGGAGUUUGGGCCGUGUCUCAGUCCCAAUGUGGCUGUUCGACCCCACCAGCUACACAUCAUCGUCUUGGUAGGCCAUUAACCCAACUAAUGUGGCGCAAGCUCAUCUUUAACAUACCUUCCGAAAAAGGUCUUAAAAAUAAAAAGAUGCC
This 274-nucleotide ribosomal RNA is filed under the name Leafhopper (Typhlocybinae) ash yellows phytoplasma. RNAcentral's name for it is "partial 16S ribosomal RNA". Lineage: Bacteria; Bacillati; Mycoplasmatota; Mollicutes; Acholeplasmatales; Acholeplasmataceae. The record is from RNAcentral.